CACCUCUAGCAUUACCAGUAUUAGAGGCACUGCCUGCCCAGUGACAUUAGUUUAACGGCCGCGGUAUCCUGACCGUGCAAAGGUAGCAUAAUCAUUUGUUCCUUAAUUAGGGACUUGUAUGAAUGGCCCCACGAGGGUUUAACUGUCUCUUACUUUUAAUCAGUGAAAUUGACCUUCCCGUGAAGAGGCGGGAAUACAAAAAUAAGACGAGAAGACCCUAUGGAGCUUAAAUUAAAAUGUCCAACAAAAUUUAAACUUAAUCCAACAGGAAUAAUAACAUUUUAACUGGACAACAAAUUUUGGUUGGGGUGACCUCGGAGUAUAACAAAACCUCCGAGCGAUUUAACCAAGACUUACCCGUCAAGGUGUCAUAAUUUAUUGAUCCAAUCAUAUUGAUCAACGAAACAAGUUACCCUAGGGAUAACAGCGCAAUCCUAUUUAAGAGUCCAUAUCGACAAUAGGGUUUACGACCUCGAUGUUGGAUCAGGACCCCCAAAUGGUGCAGCAGCUAUUAAAGGUUCGUUUGUUCAACG
RNAcentral lists this ribosomal RNA (533 nucleotides) under Crocidura obscurior. Its description in RNAcentral is "partial 16S ribosomal RNA". It matches the Rfam family "Bacterial large subunit ribosomal RNA", at positions 1816 to 2586 of the family's 2925-position model. The record is from RNAcentral. Lineage: Eukaryota; Metazoa; Chordata; Mammalia; Eulipotyphla; Soricidae.